Molecule: ribosomal RNA, 492 nt
Filed under: uncultured bacterium
Lineage: Bacteria
Description: partial 16S ribosomal RNA
Rfam family: Bacterial small subunit ribosomal RNA
Source: RNAcentral
AGUGAACGCUGGCGGUAGGCCUAACACAUGCAAGUCGAACGGCAGCACAGUAAGAGCUUGCUCUUACGGGUGGCGAGUGGCGGACGGGUGAGGAAUACAUCGGAAUCUACUUUUUCGUGGGGGAUAACGUAGGGAAACUUACGCUAAUACCGCAUACGACCUACGGGUGAAAGCAGGGGAUCUUCGGACCUUGCGCGAUUGAAUGAGCCGAUGUCGGAUUAGCUAGUUGGCGGGGUAAAGGCCCACCAAGGCGACGAUCCGUAGCUGGUCUGAGAGGAUGACCGGCCACACGGGAACGGAACCGCGCUCCAGCCUCCUCGGGGAGCAAGCGGGGGGGAAUAUUGGACAAGGGGGGAAGGCCUGAUCCACCAAUCCCGGGGGGGUGAAGAAGGCUUUCGGUUUGUAAACCCUUUUUUUGGGGAAAAAAAAGCAGCGGUUUAAUCCCCCGCUGUUCUGACGGUACCAAAAAAAUAAGCACCGCCUAACUUCGUC